GGUCUCGUCCGCGUCUUCCGCCUCUGCGCAGGCGCCGUGCCCCUCCCACGGCGGUUGGCCAUAUAGAGGCUGGGGGUGGGGGGGGAGGUCAAGCGUAGCCUCUUCUCCUUUACCAAGAUGGCGGCUUGUCCCUGUUUCGCCACAGUUCCUACCUUAUGAGCUUGGUUUCCUUACGCUGGUAAGAGUGGAACAGGGCUGUGUGGAGUGGGAGAUGCAGAGGUGGUGUCAAGAAUAUAUCCUGGAUUGUUCUGUGUACCGUAUUGCAGUGUCCCAGGAGGCACGAUCUGUGGCUGUCAUUUUGGAUGUUACAGUGAUCAGAGGUACAAGUGGGGAGAGGCAGAGGGAGAGGAGAG
Non-coding RNA from Leptonychotes weddellii (Weddell seal), 353 nucleotides. The record is from RefSeq and is a predicted model, not a curated record. Lineage: Eukaryota; Metazoa; Chordata; Mammalia; Carnivora; Phocidae.